This 67-nucleotide small nucleolar RNA is filed under the name Vicugna pacos (alpaca). Its description in RNAcentral is "Small nucleolar RNA SNORD112 (ENSVPAG00000017608.1)". The record is from RNAcentral. Lineage: Eukaryota; Metazoa; Chordata; Mammalia; Artiodactyla; Camelidae.
UUAAACAAUGAUGAGAGUGUGUCAUGGACCGAGGAUUAUGAUUAAUCCAAUUCUGUUAUCUGAAAUC